This 487-nucleotide ribosomal RNA is filed under the name uncultured bacterium. RNAcentral describes it as "bacterial SSU rRNA". It matches the Rfam family "Bacterial small subunit ribosomal RNA", at positions 28 to 487 of the family's 1533-position model. The record is from RNAcentral.
GACGAACGCUGGCGGCGUGCUUAACACAUGCAAGUCGAACGAGAGGAGAAGGAAGCUUGCUUCUUUCAAAUCUAGUGGCAAACGGGUGAGUAACACGUAAACAACCUGCCUUCAGGAUGGGGACAACAGACGGAAACGACUGCUAAUACCGAAUACGUUCUUUUGUCGCAUGGCAGAGGGAAGAAAGGGAGGCUCUUCGGAGCUUUCGCUGAAGGAGGGGCUUGCGUCUGAUUAGCUAGUUGGAGGGGUAACAGCCCACCAAGGCGACGAUCAGUAGCCGGUCUGAGAGGAUGAACGGCCACACUGGAACUGAGACACGGUCCAGACUCCUACGGGAGGCAGCAGUGGGGAAUCUUCCGCAAUGGGCGAAAGCCUGACGGAGCAACGCCGCGUGAGUGAUGACGGCCUUCGGGUUGUAAAGGCUCUGUGAUCGGGACGAACGGUCAGCAGACGAAUACUCUGCUGAAGUGACGGUACCCGGAAUAGC